ACAGGCUUAACACAUGCAAGUCGAGGGGCAGCAUUUCAGUUUGCUUGCAAACUGGAGAUGGCGACCGGCGCACGGGUGAGUAACACGUAUCCAACCUGCCGAUAACUCGGGGAUAGCCUUUCGAAAGAAAGAUUAAUACCCGAUGGUAUAAUCAGACCGCAUGGUCUUGUUAUUAAAGAAUUUCGGUUAUCGAUGGGGAUGCGUUCCAUUAGGCAGUUGGUGAGGUAACGGCUCACCAAACCUUCGAUGGAUAGGGGUUCUGAGAGGAAGGUCCCCCACAUUGGAACUGAGACACGGUCCAAACUCCUACGGGAGGCAGCAGUGAGGAAUAUUGGUCAAUGGGCGCAGGCCUGAACCAGCCAAGUAGCGUGAAGGAUGACUGCCCUAUGGGUUGUAAACUUCUUUUAUAUGGGAAUAAAGUUUUCCACGUGUGUAAUUUUGUAUGUACCAUAUGAAUAAGGAUCGGCUAACUCCGUGCCAGCAGCCGCGGUAAUACGGAGGAUCCGAGCGUUAUCCGGAUUUAUUGGGUUUAAAGGGAGCGUAGGUGGACAGUUAAGUCAGUUGUGAAAGUUUGCGGCUCAACCGUAAAAUUGCAGUUGAUACUGGCUGUCUUGAGUACAGUAGAGGUGGGCGGAAUUCGUGGUGUAGCGGUGAAAUGCUUAGAUAUCACGAAGAACUCCGAUUGCGAAGGCAGCUCACUGGACUGCAACUGACACUGAUGCUCGAAAGUGUGGGUAUCAAACAGGAUUAGAUACCCUGGUAGUCCACACAGUAAACGAUGAAUACUCGCUGUUUGCGAUAUACAGUAAGCGGCCAAGCGAAAGCACUAAGUAUUCCACCUGGGGAGUACGCCGGCAACGGUGAAACUCAAAGGAAUUGACGGGGGCCCGCACAAGCGGAGGAACAUGUGGUUUAAUUCGAUGAUACGCGAGGAACCUUACCCGGGCUUAAAUUGCAUUUGAAUAUAUUGGAAACAGUAUAGUCGUAAGACAAAUGUGAAGGUGCUGCAUGGUUGUCGUCAGCUCGUGCCGUGAGGUGUCGGCUUAAGUGCCAUAACGAGCGCAACCCUUAUCUUUAGUUACUAACAGGUCAUGCUGAGGACUCUAGAGAGACUGCCGUCGUAAGAUGUGAGGAAGGUGGGGAUGACGUCAAAUCAGCACGGCCCUUACGUCCGGGGCUACACACGUGUUACAAUGGGGGGUACAGAAGGCAGCUACCUGGUGACAGGAUGCUAAUCCCAAAAGCCUCUCUCAGUUCGGAUCGAAGUCUGCAACCCGACUUCGUGAAGCUGGAUUCGCUAGUAAUCGCGCAUCAGCCAUGGCGCGGUGAAUACGUUCCCGGGCCUUGUACACACCGCCCGUCAAGCCAUGAAAGCCGGGGGUACCUGAAGUACGUAACCGCAAGGAGCGUCCUAGGGUAAAACUGGUAAUUGGGG
RNAcentral lists this ribosomal RNA (1435 nucleotides) under uncultured organism. Its description in RNAcentral is "SSU rRNA". It matches the Rfam family "Bacterial small subunit ribosomal RNA". The record is from RNAcentral.